UGAAUUGAAGAGUUUGAUCAUGGCUCAGAUUGAACGCUGGCGGCAGGCUUAACACAUGCAAGUCGAACGGUAACAUAAAGAAGCUUGCUUCUUUGAUGACGAGUGGCGGACGGGUGAGUAAUGCUUGGGAAUCUAGCUUAUGGAGGGGGAUAACUACGGGAAACUGUAGCUAAUACCGCGUAAUAUCGAAAGAUUAAAGUGUGGGACCUUCG
Molecule: ribosomal RNA, 212 nt
Filed under: Parahaemophilus parainfluenzae
Lineage: Bacteria; Pseudomonadati; Pseudomonadota; Gammaproteobacteria; Pasteurellales; Pasteurellaceae
Description: Haemophilus parainfluenzae partial 16S ribosomal RNA
Rfam family: Bacterial small subunit ribosomal RNA
Source: RNAcentral